This 554-nucleotide ribosomal RNA is filed under the name uncultured bacterium. RNAcentral describes it as "partial 16S ribosomal RNA". It matches the Rfam family "Bacterial small subunit ribosomal RNA", at positions 355 to 900 of the family's 1533-position model. The record is from RNAcentral.
UAGGGAAUCUUCCACAAUGGACGCAAGUCUGAUGGAGCAACGCCGCGUGAGUGAAGAAGGUCUUCGGAUCGUAAAGCUCUGUUGUUGGUGAAGAAGGAUAGAGGCAGUAACUGGUCUUUAUUUGACGGUAAUCAACCAGAAAGUCACGGCUAACUACGUGCCAGCAGCCGCGGUAAUACGUAGGUGGCAAGCGUUGUCCGGAUUUAUUGGGCGUAAAGCGAGCGCAGGCGGAAUGAUAAGUCUGAUGUGAAAGCCCACGGCUCAACCGUGGAACUGCAUCGGAAACUGUCAUUCUUGAGUGCAGAAGAGGAGAGUGGAACUCCAUGUGUAGCGGUGGAAUGCGUAGAUAUAUGGAAGAACACCAGUGGCGAAGGCGGCUCUCUGGUCUGCAACUGACGCUGAGGCUCGAAAGCAUGGGUAGCGAACAGGAUUAGAUACCCUGGUAGUCCAUGCCGUAAACGAUGAGCGCUAGGUGUUGGGGACUUUCCGGUCCUCAGUGCCGCAGCAAACGCAUUAAGCGCUCCGCCUGGGGAGUACGACCGCAAGGUUGGAAC